Molecule: long non-coding RNA, 831 nt
Organism: Canis lupus familiaris (dog)
Lineage: Eukaryota; Metazoa; Chordata; Mammalia; Carnivora; Canidae
Exons: 2
Source: RefSeq, a predicted model, not a curated record
AGGUCAGCAGGGCAAAUUCCUGCCUGCUGGCCGGGCGGGGCCGAGGUGUCAGUCGUGCGGGGGCGGGGCUCCCAGGAGACCCCUGCUCGUGUCCCGAGGGGGGCCCCUGGGUGCUUCCCUGCCCAGCCUCGACCUGCGCUGGCCGCUCGGUCUUCUCUGAUUUCGAUCCUGCGUCUUUGAAGCUGCGGUGAAUUCCACACUGACCUCAUCUACUCUCCUGGUUUCGGGUGCCACCUGUGUGCUAAUAACAGUCAUGUUUACGACUCCUGAGUCCCAGCUCUCUCUAUACGUUCUGCCACUUCCUGGAAGUCUCUGCCUGGAGGUCCCCCAGGCAUGCCAAACUCUGUGCAUUCAAAAAAAAAAAAAACAAAAAAAAAAAACAAAAAAAAAAACAAAAACAAAACAAAACAAAAAAACCCAAAACCUAACACGUCAUCUUGCCCCAAUAACCUGGUCUCCUGUUUUGGUAAAUGGCACUGCCAUUCAAUCAGUGACCUAGGGCAGAAAAUUGGAGUUACCCUAAUUUUUUCCCUCUCCCUCACCCCAUAUAUCCAAAUACUUCUCAAGCCCUGCUCCCUUGCUUCCUCACAGGCCCGGUCAAGCUGCAUGCCCGGCCCCACUGCCCCUGCUGUGUUUCUGGCUGCACCAUCUCAAUAGAGAUGGCUGCGGAGCCUCUUAGAUGGUAUCCCCACCUUCAUCUCCCUCCUUGAAUCCCACUUCCUCUGGAGUGUGCUGGAGACAAUAUUUUAGAGCAUAAAUCUGACCAGGUAUCUCCUUCCAUGACUCCCAAAACACUGGAAUAAAGUCCAAAGUUUGUAAUUCUGCACAUGA